RNAcentral lists this ribosomal RNA (851 nucleotides) under uncultured bacterium. RNAcentral describes it as "bacterial SSU rRNA". It matches the Rfam family "Bacterial small subunit ribosomal RNA", at positions 28 to 876 of the family's 1533-position model. The record is from RNAcentral.
AUUGAACGCUGGCGGCAGGCCUAACACAUGCAAGUCGAACGGUAACAUUUCUAGCUUGCUAGAAGAUGACGAGUGGCGGACGGGUGAGUAAUGCUUGGGAACUUGCCUUCGGGAGGGGGAUAACAGUUGGAAACGACUGCUAAUACCGCAUAAUGUCUACGGACCAAAGCGGGCUUCGGCUCGCACCUGAAGAGAGGCCCAAGUGAGAUUAGCUAGUUGGUAAGGUAAAGGCUUACCAAGGCGACGAUCUCUAGCUGUUCUGAGAGGAAGAUCAGCCACACUGGGACUGAGACACGGCCCAGACUCCUACGGGAGGCAGCAGUGGGGAAUAUUGCACAAUGGGGGAAACCCUGAUGCAGCCAUGCCGCGUGUGUGAAGAAGGCCUUCGGGUUGUAAAGCACUUUCAGUUGUGAGGAAAGGUUGGUAGUUAAUACCUGCCAGCUGUGACGUUAACAACAGAAGAAGCACCGGCUAACUCCGUGCCAGCAGCCGCGGUAAUACGGAGGGUGCGAGCGUUAAUCGGAAUUACUGGGCGUAAAGCGCACGCAGGCGGUUUGUUAAGCUAGAUGUGAAAGCCCCGGGCUCAACCUGGGAUGGUCAUUUAGAACUGGCAGACUAAAGUCUUGGAGAGGGGAGUGGAAUUCCAGGUGUAGCGGUGAAAUGCGUAGAUAUCUGGAGGAACAUCAGUGGCGAAGGCGGCUCCCUGGCCAAAGACUGACGCUCAUGUGCGAAAGUGUGGGUAGCGAACAGGAUUAGAUACCCUGGUAGUCCACACCGUAAACGCUGUCUACUAGCUGUGUGUGAAUUUAAUUCGUGCGUAGCGAAGCUAACGCGCUAAGUAGACCGCCUGG